RNAcentral lists this ribosomal RNA (492 nucleotides) under uncultured bacterium. RNAcentral describes it as "partial 16S ribosomal RNA". It matches the Rfam family "Bacterial small subunit ribosomal RNA", at positions 28 to 507 of the family's 1533-position model. The record is from RNAcentral.
GAUGAACGCUCGCUACAGGCUUAACACAUGCAAGUCGAGGGGAAACGGCAUUGAGUGCUUGCACUCUUUGGACGUCGACCGGCGCACGGGUGAGUAACGCGUAUCCAACCUUCCCAUUACUGUGGGAUAACCUGCCGAAAGGCAGACUAAUACCGCAUAGUCUUCGAUGACGGCAUCAGAUUUGAAGUAAAGAUUUAUCGGUAAUGGAUGGGGAUGCGUCUGAUUAGCUUGUUGGCGGGGUAACGGCCCACCAAGGCUACGAUCAGUAGGGGUUCUGAGAGGAAGGUCCCCCACAUUGGAACUGAGACACGGUCCAAACUCCUACGGGAGGCAGCAGUGAGGAAUAUUGGUCAAUGGACGGAAGUCUGAACCAGCCAAGUAGCGUGCAGGAUGACGGCCCUAUGGGUUGUAAACUGCUUUUGUAUGGGGAUAAAGUUAGGGACGUGUCCCUAUUUGCAGGUACCAUACGAAUAAGGACCGGCUAAUUCCGUG